AUUGAACGCUGGCGGCAUGCUUUACACAUGCAAGUCGAACGGUAACAGGCCUUCGGGUGCUGACGAGUGGCGUACGGGGGAGUAAUGCAUCGGAACGUGCCCAGAGGUGGGGGAUAACGCAGCGAAAGCUGUGCUAAUACCGCAUGUGAUCUGAGGAUGAAAGCGGGGGACCAGGCAGCAAGGUUUGGCCUCGCGCCUUUGGAGCGGCCGAUGUCAGAUUAGGUAGUUGGUGGGGUAAAGGCCUACCAAGCCGACGAUCUGUAGCUGGUCUGAGAGGAAGACCAGCCACACUGGCACUGAGACACGGCCCAGACUCCUACGGGAGGAAGCAGUGGGGAAUUUUGCGCAAUGGACGAGAGCCUAAUCCAGCACUGCCGCGUGCGGGAAGAAGGCCUUCGGCUUGUAAACCGCUUUUGUACGGAACGAAAAGGCUCUGGCUAAUCCCUGGGGCUGAUGACGGUACCGUAAGAAUAAGCACCGGCUAACUACGUG
Molecule: ribosomal RNA, 492 nt
Filed under: uncultured bacterium
Lineage: Bacteria
Description: partial 16S ribosomal RNA
Rfam family: Bacterial small subunit ribosomal RNA
Source: RNAcentral